UAGUGGCGAACGGGUGAGUAACACGUGGGCAAUCUGCCCUUCACUCUGGGACAAGCCCUGGAAACGGGGUCUAAUACCGGAUAACACUCCUGCCUGCAUGGGUGGGGGUUAAAAGCUCCGGCGGUGAAGGAUGAGCCCGCGGCCUAUCAGCUUGUUGGUGAGGUAGUGGCUCACCAAGGCGACGACGGGUAGCCGGCCUGAGAGGGCGACCGGCCACACUGGGACUGAGACACGGCCCAGACUCCUACGGGAGGCAGCAGUGGGGAAUAUUGCACAAUGGGCGAAAGCCUGAUGCAGCGACGCCGCGUGAGGGAUGACGGCCUUCGGGUUGUAAACCUCUUUCAGCAGGGAAGAAGCGAAAGUGACGGUACCUGCAGAAGAAGCGCCGGCUAACUACGUGCCAGCAGCCGCGGUAAUACGUAGGGCGCAAGCGUUGUCCGGAAUUAUUGGGCGUAAAGAGCUCGUAGGCGG
RNAcentral lists this ribosomal RNA (471 nucleotides) under Streptomyces sp. 313B05. RNAcentral describes it as "bacterial SSU rRNA". It matches the Rfam family "Bacterial small subunit ribosomal RNA", at positions 93 to 578 of the family's 1533-position model. The record is from RNAcentral. Lineage: Bacteria; Bacillati; Actinomycetota; Actinomycetes; Kitasatosporales; Streptomycetaceae.